Molecule: small nuclear RNA, 295 nt
Filed under: Fukomys damarensis (Damara mole-rat)
Lineage: Eukaryota; Metazoa; Chordata; Mammalia; Rodentia; Bathyergidae
Description: 7SK RNA
Rfam family: 7SK RNA
About the family: 7SK was discovered as an abundant small nuclear RNA in the mid-70s but a possible function has only recently been suggested. Two independent studies have found that 7SK RNA binds the CDK9/cyclin T complex (known as elongation factor P-TEFb). P-TEFb activates transcription by phosphorylating the C-terminal domain of RNA polymerase II.
Source: Rfam by way of RNAcentral
GGGUUUGAGGGGGAUCAGGCUGUGGCAUCAGUUACCACAUUCAUCACCAGGGUGACAGCUGAUCUUAGGGUGAGGCAAGUGUCCCUUUCUGUCUUGCCACUCCACGUGUCCUUUCUAAAGCUGCCUGCUCAGCUGAAGAGGAUGACCUUGUCCUACGGGAAAAGAUGUUCCCUUAGUCAAGGAUGGAUGAGUAGCUGCCCUCCCUUGCUAGACCCUCCAAACAAGCUCAGAAAUCCUAGCGGGAAACAGAAUCCAAAUCGCACAUUAAUGACUCAGGAACAGGCAAAGAUUUUUU